CAAUCAUCUAUAUAAAAUUUAAACUAUUAAGAAAUCAUCGAACAUCCAGAAGUUUUUAGCAUUCAAAUUAAUAGUCAUAUUCUAGAGAUCUUCAAUAGAUUUUUCAUCAAAGUCCUCUACCAUUCAUCUCAUGUCCAAAAUAAGAUCCAUUUUCAUCUAAAUCUUCAUCUAAAUCAACGUUAACCUUAAAGUUGAAGCUCUUUUUUAGUUAAACUUUUAAAAUUUUGCGCUUCUUUCAAUGAAGCGAGCGCUUUUUUAGCACUUUAAGUGAUGGGGUGAUGUAUUGCUUUGAG
RNAcentral lists this unclassified non-coding RNA (293 nucleotides) under Hevea brasiliensis (rubber tree). The record is from RNAcentral. Lineage: Eukaryota; Viridiplantae; Streptophyta; Magnoliopsida; Malpighiales; Euphorbiaceae.